UACAGAGGGGGCAAGCGUUGUCCGGAGUUACUGGGCGUAAAGGGUCCGCAGGCGGCUACGCAAGUGUCGUGUGAAAGCCCCGUGCUUAACACGGGGAGGCCACGGCAGACUGCGCAGCUCGAGUGAUGCAGAGGGUGGUGGAAUUGCCGGUGUAGUGGUGAAAUGCGUAGAGAUCGGCAGGAACACCCAGGGCGAAAGCAGCCACCUGGGCAUCAACUGACGCUGAGGGACGAAAGCGUGGGGAGCGAACCGG
Molecule: ribosomal RNA, 253 nt
Filed under: uncultured bacterium
Lineage: Bacteria
Description: partial 16S ribosomal RNA
Rfam family: Bacterial small subunit ribosomal RNA
Source: RNAcentral